GUGCUCGCCUUGGCAGCACAUAUACUAAAAUUGGAUACAGAGAAGGUUAGAAUGGCCCCUGAGCAAGGAUGACAUGCAAAUUCAUGAAGCGUUCCAUAUUUUU
Small nuclear RNA from Apodemus sylvaticus (European woodmouse), 103 nucleotides. The record is from RefSeq and is a predicted model, not a curated record. NCBI's taxonomy places the organism in Eukaryota, Metazoa, Chordata, Mammalia, Rodentia, Muridae.